GAUGAACGCUGGCGGCGUGCCUAAUACAUGCAAGUCGGGCGAACGGACGAGAAGCUUGCUUCUCUGAUGUUAGCGGCGGACGGGUGAGUAACACGUGGAUAACCUACCUAUAAGACUGGGAUAACUUCGGGAAACCGGAUCUAAUACCGGAUGAUAUUUUGAACCGCAUGGUUCAAAAGUGAAAGACGGUCUUGCUGUCACUUAUAGAUGGAUCCGCGCUGCAUUAGCUAGUUGGUAAGGUAACGGCUUACCAAGGCAACGAUGCAUAGCCGACCUGAGAGGGUGAUCGGCCACACUGGAACUGAGACACGGUCCAGACUCCUACGGGAGGCAGCAGUAGGGAAUCUUCCGCAAUGGGCGAAAGCCUGACGGAGCAACGCCGCGUGAGUGAUGAAGGUCUUCGGAUCGUAAAACUCUGUUAUUAGGGAAGAACAUAUGUGUAAGUAACUGUGCACAUCUUGACGGUACCUAAUCAGAAAGCCACGGCUAACUACGUG
Molecule: ribosomal RNA, 497 nt
Filed under: uncultured bacterium
Lineage: Bacteria
Description: partial 16S ribosomal RNA
Rfam family: Bacterial small subunit ribosomal RNA
Source: RNAcentral